AGGCUCCUGCAAUCAGCCUCUGGAGUUGUAAACUUGGCUCAAUGGCUUUCUGAGAGAUGUGAACCUUGGAUGAGUCCCUGAAUCUCCAAAUCUCAGUUUUCCCAUAUGUAAAAUGGGAGUGAGUUUUUUUUAAUAGCUCAUCCUUCAUAUAGUUGAGUUAAAUGAAAUCACAUGUGAUAAGUGCUUGAAACAAUUCUUGGCACAUAGGAAACCCUCUUUAAAAAUUAGCAGUUAACUGCUAUUUUUUAAAAAUCCACUUCCAUGCAUAGGAAAGAAAGAGAAAAGUAUUUUCCUAAAGAAGUCAAUUUUGAGAAUAGCCUGCUUCUCAAACUGUUGAGGGCCAAAUUUUGAAAUAGACUUUCAGAAAGUUAAUUACACACCUUGCCCUUCUGUGUUCUUCAGUCCCUCCAACUAGUCCUUUUAAGACACUCAGUAUCUUUAUGCUGCCCCAGAUUCUGGUCCAAGAAAUACGUGCUCUGGGUGGGACAUUCUCUUAGAUACUUUCUCCAACAUUCUUCCAAUUUUUAACCCUUGCUGUGUUCCACAAUGGAGCACUUACCUUGGUGCUGCAUUGCAACUUUUUUGCUCUCUUUCUCCAGAAGGUUCUCAUUCUCAAGAUAACACCUAGCUUAUAGGAUUGGUAACAGGUUAAAAGAUGAUACAUGGUCAUAGGGACAUAGUAAGACUAAGUGUUAGAUAUUAAUCUAUAAAUAUUACUAUCCUCCCUUUCUCUUGAAGGGAAUAUUGAAAGAAAUCCUACCUGUGUGACCUCAUGGCACCUCUGCUCUCUCUUGUGACAUCAAUAAAUCAUCCUGCUGUCUCAGUUUGGGCUACUAGAACCGUAAACCAUAGACUUGGGGGCUUAAAAUACAAAUAUUUAUUUUUCACAGUUUGAGAGUCUGGGAAGUCUAAAUCAAGCACUGGAAGUUUCAGUCUCUGACAGUGGCACUUUCCUGGUUCGUGGAUGGCCGUCCUAUCACUGCAUCCUCACAUGGCUGAAAGAGGGCUAGAGAGCUCUGUGGGAUCUCUUUUAUAAGGGCACUAAUCCCACUCAUGAGGGCUUCACCAUCAUGACUUAAUUCCCUUCUAAAUACCCUACCUCUUAUGGCAUCACUUUGAGGAUAGGAUUUCAACAUAUAUACUUGGGGGAGACACAAACAUUCAGUCCAUAACACCUGCCCAUGUAGUAUAUUUCAUCUUAAACAUCUCCAAUUCCUGGACCAUGAAAGAAUGAAUAAACUAAUAGUGAGUACCUGGAUUCUGACCAUCAUCUCUUCCUGAAGGUGCCUGUGACCUUUUCCCCAGUUUAUUAGAUAUCCUGUCCCUAUCACAGCUCUUCUUACACUGAAUUGCUUUUGCACAUUAUGUAUUUGUCUCUCCAACUAUGUUGUGUUCCCCUUGAAAGCAGCGUACUAACCUUAUUUAUCUAUGUUUUUUCUCAGAACAUCAUGCAGAGCUUGGCAUAGGGUAGGUACUUAUUUACAUUUUCUAGAUAGAGGAACCCUUGGCACCUAGUUCAUUCAUAGCACAAAUGCAGCUGAGUCUUGAGUCUUUACGGGGCCAAAGCCAUACCCCUUACAUGUGGCAAAUGUUGAUGCAUCGUACAUGUUUGCAAAGUUUAAGCAACUGGGUCCACUUUAACAUUCUGAACUCAAGAGAUAUGUGACACUUUACUGGAAACCUACUUUGCAUCUAAAUUGGUAAUUACCACCUUUCUAGCUAACUUCACUGGGACUAUUAUACAGAAAACCCAAAAAGACAAUAAUGGAAGAAGACUAUGUUCACCUAUGGUAUUUGCCUAUCCCAUCCUUACUUAGGCUUCUUGCACUAUUGUCCACUGGGUUCCAGGACCCAUGGGCAGCCCUCAAGUCUGGUUGUCUAGUAUAUUGAGCAAUAUACUAAUGUUUCUAUAUGACUGCCUAUACUUUUGUUUCUGGCAUCAAAUAUUUUGCUUUUCGAUUUUUAAUAGAAACCAGACAUUGCAUCAUUAAUAUGUCAUCAAAAGCAGUGCCAGAUUUCCUGUUAUCCUGGGGAAGGAUUCACUGGCUAGUGAGACUACAUGGAAGAGGUCACUCUGGGGAUUUAGUUCAAAUAAAUGUGAACAAAAAAAAAGCACCAGAUGGAGGUGCCCAAGAUGUAAAAUAAGCUUUGCAGAGAAAGGACAGGGCAUCUUCCAAACUGAACUGCUCUCAAGCAUUGAUUGCCAACACUGAUUCAUUCUCUGGACAGAUGGGGACUUGCCAACUAUACACCAUUGUCUGUUCUCUACACUGUAAUUACAAAGAUGAAAUAUGUGUCUAUUUAUACACACAAGCAGAUGUGGUACAUUUAAGGAACAAAUAGAAGAGUGAUUCAGUCUUCCAAGAUAUAUUAAAUUUACGUGAUACCAGAGGUAACAGAUGAAUUAUGACCUAUCAGUUGUGCAGGUAAACAGUAGAAAACUAUAGGUGUAUUAUAGUCACGAAAUUCUCCUGGUACACACCAUGUGUAUGAUUUUUUGUGUGUGACAUCAUAAAAUAUUAGUAUCAUUCACCAUAUUUGUUAAACAAGUUGUGCCAAAGUGAGCUACACAGUUUCAUAUGCAAUACCUGCAUAGUUGCACUGAAGAAAGAUGCCUAACAUUUACAGACAGCAUAACUCUACUUUCUAGCCUUCCUUGCUCACUCUGUCAAAUGCAUUUGCAAAGAGACUUGUUUCUUUGUUAGGGUAUAACACAAUUGCCUAUAGGAUGUCCAUUGUGAGCUAACAUUGAUAGGCCACAAGCUCCACCCUUUCCAAAGGGUUGAGAAGAGGCAGAGGAUGGAGAGAAAGCAAAAAGCCUGUAGAGUCUCCAGCAUAAAGUCCAGAAACUCCUUUGUGUUCAUUCACUCCAAGUGCAUACUUAUUUUUGGGCAAAGGGCACUGGGAGAGAACACAGUUUUGCAAACUAACAAAGGCUAAAAGCAAUAAGGGUGGUAUUGAAUAAUGUUUGACCAUUGAAUUUAAUAGGGAAAUUAAAAGUGUGGGAAACCCUUUGGCUAAUUUUGAUGACUUGAAAUUUUAUUCUAAUAAUAGAUAAAAGAGAUUUUUCUGUAUCUGG
RNAcentral lists this long non-coding RNA (3079 nucleotides) under Sus scrofa (pig). Its description in RNAcentral is "lncRNA (ENSSSCG00000062557.1)". The record is from RNAcentral. Lineage: Eukaryota; Metazoa; Chordata; Mammalia; Artiodactyla; Suidae.